RNAcentral lists this unclassified non-coding RNA (251 nucleotides) under uncultured Malassezia. RNAcentral's name for it is "sequence contains ITS1". The record is from RNAcentral. Lineage: Eukaryota; Fungi; Basidiomycota; Malasseziomycetes; Malasseziales; Malasseziaceae.
GAGAACCAAGAGAUCCGUUGUCGAAAGUUGUGUAUAGUUUGUUGGCCAGUGACGGUCCAACCAAGUUCCACGUUCAUACUAACCAUUCGAGUUUGUAGCGAAGAAAGACCCCAAGAGAGGCCACAAAAAACUUCUCUGAAGCCUUUCUCCAAGACAGUGCACACGGGUUUGUGGAUGUAUAGUGGGUGUAGGCGGCCAGGGACACUUUUUGGCGUCCGUAUGGCCUGCCCAAAUCUUCACUAAUGAUCCUU